Molecule: ribosomal RNA, 262 nt
Filed under: Lycalopex culpaeus (Culpeo)
Lineage: Eukaryota; Metazoa; Chordata; Mammalia; Carnivora; Canidae
Description: partial 16S ribosomal RNA
Source: RNAcentral
AAUUGACCUUCCCGUGAAGAGGCGGGAAUAUCACAAUAAGACGAGAAGACCCUAUGGAGCUUUAAUUAACCAACCCAAACUCAUGGAUAUUAUUCACCUACAAGGCAUAACAUGUAACCAUUAUUAUGGGUUAGCAAUUUAGGUUGGGGUGACCUCGGAAUACAAAAAAACUCCCGAGUGAUUAAAAUUUAGACUCACUAGUCAAAAUAUAGUAUCACUUAUUGAUCCAAUAGUUUUGAUCAACGGAACAAGUUACCCUAGG